GACGAACGCUGGCGGCGUGCUUAACACAUGCAAGUCGAACGGAAAGGCCCUGCUUUGGUGGGGUGCGCGAGUGGCGAACGGGUGAGUAACACGUGAGUAACCUGCCCUUGACUUUGGGAUAACUUCAGGAAACUGGGGCUAAUACCGGAUAGGCGCUCCUGCUGCAUGGGGGGGGUUGGAAAGUUGCGGCGGUGGGGGAUGGACUCGCGGCUUAUCAGCGUGUGGGUGGGGUAGUGGCUUACCAAGGCUUUGACGGGUAGCCGGCCUGAGAGGGUGACGGGCCACAUGGGGACUGAGAUACGGCCCAGACUCAUACGGGGGGGAGCAGUGGGGAAUAUUGCACAAGGGGCGGGAGCGUGGUGCAGCAACGCCGCGUGCGGGAUGACGGCCUUCGGGUUGUAAACCGCUUUCGCCUGUGACGAAGCGUGAGUGACGGUAAUGGGUAAAGAAGCACCGGCUAACUACGU
Molecule: ribosomal RNA, 467 nt
Filed under: uncultured bacterium
Lineage: Bacteria
Description: partial 16S ribosomal RNA
Rfam family: Bacterial small subunit ribosomal RNA
Source: RNAcentral